CUUUCGCCUGUGAUGAUAAUGACAGUAGCAGGUAAAGAAACCCCGGCUAACUCCGUGCCAGCAGCCGCGGUAAUACGGAGGGGGUUAGCGUUGUUCGGAAUUACUGGGCGUAAAGCGCACGUAGGCGGAUURGAAAGUWUGGGGUGAAAUCCCAGGGCUCAACCCUGGAACUGCCUCAUAAACUUCUAGUCUAGAGUUCGAGAGAGGUGAGUGGAAUUCCGAGUGUAGAGGUGAAAUUCGUAGAUAUUCGGAGGAACACCAGUGGCGAAGGCGGCUCACUGGCUCGAUACUGACGCUGAGGUGCGAAAGUGUGGGGAGCAAACAGGAUUAGAUACCCUGGUAGUCCACACCGUAAACGAUGAAUGCCAGUCGUCGGCAAGCAUGCUUGUCGGUGACACACUAWCGGAUUAAGCAUUCG
Molecule: ribosomal RNA, 418 nt
Filed under: uncultured delta proteobacterium
Lineage: Bacteria; Deltaproteobacteria
Description: bacterial SSU rRNA
Rfam family: Bacterial small subunit ribosomal RNA
Source: RNAcentral